This 425-nucleotide RNase P RNA is filed under the name Lachnospiraceae bacterium. RNAcentral describes it as "RNase P RNA component class A". It matches the Rfam family "Bacterial RNase P class A". Rfam says of the family: Ribonuclease P (RNase P) is a ubiquitous endoribonuclease, found in archaea, bacteria and eukarya as well as chloroplasts and mitochondria. Lineage: Bacteria; Bacillati; Bacillota; Clostridia; Lachnospirales; Lachnospiraceae. The record is from RNAcentral.
UGAGUAGGACAGAUGGUCGCGGCUGCAAUGUCGAAAGGCAGCAGGUGAGGAAAGUCCGGGCUUCAUAGGGCAGAAUGCCGGAUAACGUCCGGUGGAGGCGACUCCAAGGCAAGUGCAACAGAAAUAAACCGCCCAGUGAAACUAUAGUUAGUAUAAUUGCACUGAAAUUUGCGAAGCAAAUUUUAACUGAAUGGAAAAACUUGUUUUUGCAUUCAGUUUGGUAAGGGUGGAAAGGCAGUGUAAGAGACUACCGCCCUGUUGGUAACAACAGGGGCACAUGUAAACCCCAUUCGAAGCAAGACCGAACAGAAAGCGAUACGGCGGCCCGUCGUGCUUUCGGGUAGGUCGCUUGAGCCUGCUGGUAACAGCAGGUCUAGAUAGAUGACCAUCAAAAACAUAACCCGGCUUACGUGCCUGCUCAUUUU